GACGAACGCUGGCGGCGUGCUUAACACAUGCAAGUCGAACGGAAAGGCCCUGCUUUUGUGGGGUGCUCGAGUGGCGAACGGGUGAGUAACACGUGAGUAACCUGCCCUUGACUUUGGGAUAACUUCAGGAAACUGGGGCUAAUACCGGAUAGGAGCUCCUGCUGCACGGUGGGGGUUGGAAAGUUUCGGCGGUUGGGGAUGGACUCGCGGCUUAUCAGCUUGUUGGUGGGGUAGUGGCUUACCAAGGCUUUGACGGGUAGCCGGCCUGAGAGGGUGACCGGCCACAUUGGGACUGAGAUACGGCCCAGACUCCUACGGGAGGCAGCAGUGGGGAAUAUUGCACAAUGGGCGGAAGCCUGAUGCAGCAACGCUGCGUGCGGGAUGACGGCCUUCGGGUUGUAAACCGCUUUCGCCUGUGACGAAGCGUGAGUGACGGUAAUGGGUAAAGAAGCACCGGCUAACUACGUG
RNAcentral lists this ribosomal RNA (468 nucleotides) under uncultured bacterium. RNAcentral describes it as "partial 16S ribosomal RNA". It matches the Rfam family "Bacterial small subunit ribosomal RNA", at positions 28 to 507 of the family's 1533-position model. The record is from RNAcentral.